Sorex araneus (European shrew) is the source of this 116-nucleotide small nuclear RNA. Its record names the gene U5. It matches the Rfam family "U5 spliceosomal RNA". From Rfam's summary of the family: U5 RNA is a component of both types of known spliceosome. The precise function of this molecule is unknown, though it is known that the 5' loop is required for splice site selection and p220 binding, and that both the 3' stem-loop and the Sm site are important for Sm protein binding and cap methylation. The record is from Ensembl. Lineage: Eukaryota; Metazoa; Chordata; Mammalia; Eulipotyphla; Soricidae.
GUACUCUGGUUUCACUUUAGAUCACAUAAAUCUUUUGCCUUUUACUAAAGGUUUCCGUAGAGAGGAACAGUUCUGAAUGUUUUUUUUAAAUUUUUGGGUCACACCUGGUGAUGCAC